GUUUGAUCCUGGCUCAGAACGAACGCUGGCGGCGUACUUAACACAUGCGAGUCGGACGAGAAAGGAGACUUCGGUCUCUGAGUACAGUGGCGCACGGGUGCGUAACACGUAAGUAAUCUACCCCAAACCCUGGGAUAACCCUCCGAAAGGAGGGCUAAUACUGGAUAGGGUCCCCGAGGUAUAGGCUGCGGGGGGAAAACGGGCCUCUGUUUUAUGCUCGUGGUUCGGGAUGAGCUUGCGGCCCAUUAGCUAGUUGGUAAGGUAAUGGCUUACCAAGGCAACGAUGGGUAGCUGGUCUGAGAGGAUGAUCAGCCACACUGGCACUGAGACACGGGCCAGACUCCUACGGGAGGCAGCAGUGGGGAAUUUUGCGCAAUGGGCGAAAGCCUGACGCAGUAACGCCGCGUGGAGGAUGAAGGCCUUCGGGUUGUAAACUCCUGUCAGGAAGAACGACGGGGAAAGGGCCAUA
This 469-nucleotide ribosomal RNA is filed under the name uncultured bacterium. RNAcentral describes it as "bacterial SSU rRNA". It matches the Rfam family "Bacterial small subunit ribosomal RNA", at positions 11 to 464 of the family's 1533-position model. The record is from RNAcentral.